Molecule: ribosomal RNA, 491 nt
Filed under: Babesia canis
Lineage: Eukaryota; Apicomplexa; Aconoidasida; Piroplasmida; Babesiidae
Description: SSU rRNA
Rfam family: Eukaryotic small subunit ribosomal RNA
Source: RNAcentral
AUGGUGACCCAAACCCUCACCAGAGUAGCAAUUGGAGGGCAAGUCUGGUGCCAGCAGCCGCGGUAAUUCCAGCUCCAAUAGCGUAUAUUAAACUUGUUGCAGUUAAAAAGCUCGUAGUUGUAUUUUUGCGUUAGCGGUUUGACCAUUUGGUUGGUUAUUUCGUUUUCGCUUUUGGGAAUUUCCCUUUUUACUUUGAGAAAAUUAGAGUGUUUCAAGCAGACUUUUGUCUUGAAUACUUCAGCAUGGAAUAAUAGAGUAGGACUUUGGUUCUAUUUUGUUGGUUAUUGAACCUUAGUAAUGGUUAAUAGGAACGGUUGGGGGCAUUCGUAUUUAACUGUCAGAGGUGAAAUUCUUAGAUUUGUUAAAGACGAACUACUGCGAAAGCAUUUGCCAAGGACGUUUCCAUUAAUCAAGAACGAAAGUUAGGGGAUCGAAGACGAUCAGAUACCGUCGUAGUCCUAACCAUAAACUAUGCCGACUAGUGAUUGGAG